CAGAGUUCUAAAAAGACUCCCAAACCAUUGUGAACAUACCCGUCAGCGUUGCUUCGGCGGGCGUCCCCUCCCUGGGGACGCUGCCCUCCGGGGUGCCCGCCGGUGCGUACCAAACUCUUUUGUAUUUUAGUGGCCUCUCUGAGAAAACAAGCAAAUAAGUUA
RNAcentral lists this unclassified non-coding RNA (162 nucleotides) under uncultured Ascomycota. RNAcentral describes it as "sequence contains ITS1". The record is from RNAcentral. Lineage: Eukaryota; Fungi; Ascomycota.